CAGCAGCCGCGGGAAUACGAAGGGGGCUAGCGUUGCUCGGAUUUACUGGGCGUAAAGCGCACGUAGGCGGACUUUUAAGUCAGGGGUGAAAUCCCGGGGCUCAACCCCGGAACUGCCUUUGAUACUGGAAGUCUUGAGUAUGGUAGAGGUGAGUGGAAUUCCGAGUGUAGAGGUGAAAUUCGUAGAUAUUCGGAGGAACACCAGUGGCGAAGGCGGCUCACUGGACCAUUACUGACGCUGAGGUGCGAAAGCGUGGGGAGCAAACAUGAUUAGAUACCCCCGUAGUCCCUGUCUCUUAUAC
Molecule: ribosomal RNA, 301 nt
Filed under: uncultured bacterium
Lineage: Bacteria
Description: partial 16S ribosomal RNA
Rfam family: Bacterial small subunit ribosomal RNA
Source: RNAcentral